AUAGAUUAAAUUAUACAAUUUGGUAAAAAGGUAGUUAAUGUAUUUUAAAUAAAAAGUUUAUAGAAAAUUUAUAUAAAGGUAAAAUUUAAAAAUAAAUUCUAAUAUUAUUUAGAUGCUUUAAUACUGAAUCUACGAAAACCUUAAGGGAAACUGGGAUUAGAUACCCCAUUAUUUAAGGAAAUAAAUUAAUAAAGAUUUACCAGAGAACUACGAAUAAAAAUUUAAAACUCAAAGAGCUUGGCGGUGUUUUAGACCUCUCAGGGGAACCUGUCUCAUAAUCGAUAGUCCACGUAAUACCUAACCUUAUUUUGUAUCCAGUUUGUAUACCGUCGUCGUCAGGUAACUUCUUAAAAUAUAAAAGUUAGCUAAUAAAUAAAAUAAAUUUAUACGUCAGAUCAAGGUGCAACUUAUAGUAAGGUGAGGAUGGGUUACAAUUAAAAUUUAUAAUUACAGAUAAAUAAUGAAAAAUUCAUGAAGGAGGACUUGAAAGUAAAAUAAUAAUAUAGAAAUUAUCUGAAUAUGGCUCUGAAACGUGC
RNAcentral lists this ribosomal RNA (536 nucleotides) under Ficidae sp. MNHN-IM-2007-33633. Its description in RNAcentral is "partial 12S ribosomal RNA". The record is from RNAcentral. Lineage: Eukaryota; Metazoa; Mollusca; Gastropoda; Littorinimorpha; Ficidae.